Small nuclear RNA from Choloepus hoffmanni (Hoffmann's two-fingered sloth), 140 nucleotides. Its record names the gene U4. It matches the Rfam family "U4 spliceosomal RNA". Rfam says of the family: U4 small nuclear RNA (U4 snRNA) is a component of the major U2-dependent spliceosome. The record is from Ensembl. NCBI's taxonomy places the organism in Eukaryota, Metazoa, Chordata, Mammalia, Pilosa, Megalonychidae.
AGCUUUGCGCAGUAGCAGUAUCGUAGCCAAUGAGGUUUAUCUGAGGCAUGAUUAUUGCUAAUUGAAAACUUUUCCAAUACCCCACCAUGAUGACUUGAAAUAUAGUCAGCAUUAGCAACUUUUGACAGUCUCUAUGGAAA